UUCGACGAGUCGAGUUGUUUGGGAAUGCAGCUCUCAUGGGAGGUAAAUUUCUUCUAAAGCUAAAUACUGGCCAGAGACCGAUAGCGCACAAGUAGAGUGAUCGAAAGAUGAAAAGCACUUUGGAAAGAGAGUUAAAAAGCACGUGAAAUUGUUGAAAGGGAAGCGCUUGCAGCCAGACUUGCCUGUAGUUGCUCAUCCGGGUUUCUACCCGGUGCACUCUUCUACGGGCAGGCCAGCAUCAGUUUGGGCGGUUGGAUAAAGGUCUCUGUCAUGUACCUCCUUUCGGGGAGAACUUAUAGGGGAGACGACAUGCAACCAGCCCGGACUGAGGUCCGCGCAUCUGCUAGGAUGCUGGCGUAAUGGCUGUAAGCGGCCCGUCUUGAAACACGGACCAAGGAGUCUAACAUCUAUGCGAGUGUUUGGGUGUCAAGCCCGAACGCGUAAUGAAAGUGAACGGAGGUGGGAACCUUUCGGGGUGCACCAUCGACCGAUCCUGAUGUCUUCGGAUGGAUUUGAGUAAGAGCAUAGCUGUUGGGACCCGAAAGAUGGUGAACUAUGCUUGAAUAGGGUGAAGCCAGAGGAAACUCUGGUGGAGGCUCGCAGCGGUUCUGACGUGCAAAUCGAUCGUCAAAUUUGGGCAUAGGGGCGAA
This 650-nucleotide ribosomal RNA is filed under the name Nothophoma quercina. Its description in RNAcentral is "partial large subunit ribosomal RNA". It matches the Rfam family "Eukaryotic large subunit ribosomal RNA", at positions 256 to 927 of the family's 3401-position model. Lineage: Eukaryota; Fungi; Ascomycota; Dothideomycetes; Pleosporales; Didymellaceae. The record is from RNAcentral.